This 220-nucleotide unclassified non-coding RNA is filed under the name uncultured fungus. RNAcentral's name for it is "partial contains 5.8S ribosomal RNA, internal transcribed spacer 2, and large subunit ribosomal RNA". The stretch from base 1 to 52 matches the Rfam family "5.8S ribosomal RNA", at positions 103 to 154 of the family's 154-position model. Lineage: Eukaryota; Fungi. The record is from RNAcentral.
AACGCAAAUUGCGCCUUUUGGUAUUCCGAAAGGCAUGCCUGUUUGAGUGUCAUAUAGACUUCACUAUGUGGUUUUACACACAGUGCUUUGGAGUUUGCAAUACGCUUGUGAUUGCUUCUCUUAAAUGUCUAAGUGGAUAGCGUGAUAAGUCUUCGCAACCCCACUCUAAUAACCUUUUAUCUCUGACCUCAAAUCAGGUAGGACUACCCGCUGAACUUAA